AGUUCUUUCUCUAAUACAUUACUGAUCCUAGGUCAGCAUGUAAGGCCAGGAGCAAAGUUGGAUUCCAAAAUGAGUUUUAGUUCAUCUCAUAGAGACACAGCAAAAUAAGGGGGUGUGCAAACUUGGAAAUAAAAAAUGAACAAAAGUGUAUAUAAGACUGCAAUUUGUAUACGCAAGUUGAAAUUUGGAUGCAAAUUUGGAUUUGAGGGUCAGAUUGGGGAAGUUGCAUUGCUGUUGUAAUUUUGGAACAGUUAAACUGUGGGGAUUCGUAUACAUGUGGCAAUCUCUGAAUCUGAUUGUGAUUUUACUGUAA
This 313-nucleotide long non-coding RNA is filed under the name Ananas comosus (pineapple). RNAcentral describes it as "long non-coding RNA (ACOM_LNC022408)". The record is from RNAcentral. Lineage: Eukaryota; Viridiplantae; Streptophyta; Magnoliopsida; Poales; Bromeliaceae.